GUCCCUGUAGCGCAAUGGAUAGCGCGUUGGACGUCUAGUUCAUAGGUCGUGGGUUUGAAUCCCACCUGGGAUG
This 73-nucleotide transfer RNA is filed under the name Trichonephila inaurata madagascariensis. It matches the Rfam family "tRNA". From Rfam's summary of the family: Transfer RNA (tRNA) molecules are approximately 80 nucleotides in length. Their secondary structure includes four short double-helical elements and three loops (D, anti-codon, and T loops). The record is from Rfam by way of RNAcentral. Lineage: Eukaryota; Metazoa; Arthropoda; Arachnida; Araneae; Nephilidae.